GAUGAAGAACGCAGCGAAAUGCGAUAAGUAAUGUGAAUUGCAGAAUUCAGUGAAUCAUCGAAUCUUUGAACGCGCAUUGCGGCCCCUGGUAUUCCGGGGGGCAUGCCUGUCCGAGCGUCAUUACAACCCUCAAGCUCAGCUUGGUAUUGGGCCCCGCCGCUCCGGCGGGCCCUAAAGUCAGUGGCGGUGCCGUCCGGCUCCGAGCGUAGUAAUUCUUCUCGCUCUGGAGGUCCGGUCGUGUGCUCGCCAGCAACCCCCAAUUUUUUUCAGGUUGACCUCGGAUCAGGUAGGGAUACCCGCUGAACUUAAGCAUAUCAAUAAGCGGAGGA
This 329-nucleotide unclassified non-coding RNA is filed under the name soil metagenome. RNAcentral describes it as "partial contains 5.8S ribosomal RNA, internal transcribed spacer 2, and large subunit ribosomal RNA". The stretch from base 1 to 120 matches the Rfam family "5.8S ribosomal RNA", at positions 35 to 154 of the family's 154-position model. The record is from RNAcentral.